GGAGAGGUGCCAGAGCGGUUGAAUGGGCUGGUCUCGAAAACCAGUAUGGCCCUAGUGGUCAUCGCGAGUUCGAAUCUCGCCCUCUCCGCCA
RNAcentral lists this transfer RNA (91 nucleotides) under Chloroflexota bacterium. RNAcentral describes it as "Chloroflexi bacterium (groundwater metagenome) tRNA-Ser". It matches the Rfam family "tRNA". From Rfam's summary of the family: Transfer RNA (tRNA) molecules are approximately 80 nucleotides in length. Their secondary structure includes four short double-helical elements and three loops (D, anti-codon, and T loops). The record is from RNAcentral. Lineage: Bacteria; Bacillati; Chloroflexota.